AUAUCAGUCAUGCAUAGCAUAUCAAUAAGCGGAGGAAAAGAAACUAACAAGGAUUCCCUUAGUAACGGCGAGUGAAGCGGGAAGAGCUCAAAUUUGAAAUCUUCAAGGUUUUACCUUGACGAAUUGUAGUUUAUAGAAGUGUUUUCUGUUAGUAGCGUUGGUAAAAGUUCUUUGGAACAGGACAUCAUAGAGGGUGAGAAUCCCGUAUUUGGUCAUUCUUUCUAGCUUUGUGAUACACUUUCAACGAGUCGGAUUGUUUGGGAAUGCAGUCCAAAAUGGGUGGUAAAUUUCAUCUAAAGCUAAAUAUUGGCGAGAGACCGAUAGCGAACAAGUACCGUGAGGGAAAGAUGAAAAGAACUUUGAAAAGAGAGUUAAACAGUACGUGAAAUUGUCAAAAGGGAAGCGUUUGACACCAGUGUUGUUUUCUCGAAAAUCAAUUAAGAAUGUGAUUUUGUUUUGUAAAGUUAUGACUUAUCAGCUUUCUGCUACUCUUUUACGUAAUCUUUUUAAUGCACUUUUCGUUUAACAAGUCAACAUCAAUUUCUUUUGUUGUAAAAGGUCAUUGGAAGGUGGCUUUUCUUUCGGAGAAAGUGUUUAUAGCCUUUGGCUUCUGCAAUCGGAGAGAUUGAGGUCUGCAGCGUAGAUCCUUCGGGGUUAGAUAGCAUUUGUGCUAAGCUAUAGUUCUUUCAUAGACAACUUGUUGACUAUGAUCAGUCCUGUAGCUUACUCGCUUAUGCUAUUUUACCUACGCUUAGGAUGUUGAUGUGAUACUGCGAGC
This 778-nucleotide ribosomal RNA is filed under the name uncultured Neocallimastigales. Its description in RNAcentral is "partial large subunit ribosomal RNA". It matches the Rfam family "Eukaryotic large subunit ribosomal RNA", at positions 22 to 645 of the family's 3401-position model. Lineage: Eukaryota; Fungi; Neocallimastigomycota; Neocallimastigomycetes; Neocallimastigales. The record is from RNAcentral.